Molecule: long non-coding RNA, 441 nt
Organism: Eriocheir sinensis (Chinese mitten crab)
Lineage: Eukaryota; Metazoa; Arthropoda; Malacostraca; Decapoda; Varunidae
Exons: 3
Source: RefSeq, a predicted model, not a curated record
UCUAAUGAGUGUUUCUUUAGGUUCAUGGUACAGAGGAAGGGUCACACUACCACCAGGGUCAUGAAACUACUCCUGGAAAUGCCCACAACUCGUACAAAAGCCUUGUCAAGUAUGUGUUUCUUUAGGUUCACGGUACAGAGGAAGGGUCAAACUACCACCAGGGUCAUAAAACUACUCCUGGAAAUGCCCCAAACUCCUAUGAAAGCCUUGUCAAAUAUGUGUUUCUUUAGGUUCAUGGUACAGAGGAAGGGUCAAACUACCACCAGGGUCAUAAAACUACCCCUGGAAAUGCCCACAACUCCUAUGAAAGCCUUGUCAAGUAUGUGUUUCUUUAGGUUCACGGUACAGAGGAAGGGUCAAACUACCACCAGGGUCAUAAAACUACCCCUGGAAAUGCCCACAACUCCUACGAAAGCCUUGUCAAAUAUGUGUUUCUUUAGG